This 2070-nucleotide long non-coding RNA is filed under the name Nicotiana tabacum (common tobacco). Its description in RNAcentral is "long non-coding RNA (NTAB_LNC005228)". Lineage: Eukaryota; Viridiplantae; Streptophyta; Magnoliopsida; Solanales; Solanaceae. The record is from RNAcentral.
GUUUUAAUACCACUAAAGAGCUGAAUUAAGAAAGCUCAAUUUGUGGCGAUCUUAUUUUCGAGGGAUUUUCAAGGAAAUCAUCGAGAUUUGAGCCGUCCGGAGGUAGCUUCACUCGCGAAGAUCAUUUAAAGACUCGGUUUAGUUUCGUCGAGGUAAGUAUCUUGCCUAACCUUGUGUGAGAGAAUUUUUCCUUAGGCAUUGAGUCUUAUAUGAAAAUUGUGUGAUUGAAAGCCAUAUACGCGAUGUGACGAGUACAUGCUUAGUUUAUAUGUGCAAAGUAUACCGGUUAAAAUUUGUAGACACCCUUAUGUAUUAAAUUAAAAAAUUGUUGUAACUUAUUAAAUCCUUUAUUUGUCAUGCCUCACUCCUUACUUGCCGAGGUUGUUUUUAUGUGAUAAUUUAGUGUGAUUGUCACUUUAAUUUUUAUGUGAGAUGUCGUGGUUGGUUGGGUUGACAUUUCUUGGAAAUAAUUUCAUUAUGGAUUCUUCAUCUGCAAAUAAUUAAUUAAAUAUGUUAAAAAAGAGGCAUUAAUAUAUUUAUCAAAAAUUUGGAUUAAAGAAGUCGUUGUCCUAUGCGGAGCUAUUUUUCCUAUCCUUGUUAUUGUUUUUGUGGUUUUAUAUACAUUGUAUUGAGCCGUGGGCUAUCUGCUGUGAAAUGGAUUGAUUUAGUUGUACCUUUGGAAAGGUUGUGGCAUACGAGCAAUUUGUAAAUACGAGUUGAUUAUGCUGUGUUGUUGUGAUAAUAUUUUGUGUGAAUUGUUGUGUGAUUGGGUUACUGUUAUGUGGCAUAUAAGGGUGGUAUUCCACUAUUGAUUUUAUGCGAGUAUAAGGGUGGCAUUUCACUGUUGUUAUGUGUGUUGGGAUAUUAUUUGGGCGGAGCGAUAAGGGAGGCUAUUAAACAGAGCGAUAAGGGAGGCUAUUAUAGGAGUGAUAAGGGUGGUUAUAGGAGCGAUAAAGGUGGCUAUUGAUAUUGUCAAGGCGGAGGGAUAAGGGAGGCUAUUAUAGGAGUGAUGCGGGUGGCUAUAGGAGAGAUAAGGGUGACUAUUAUCAGGGAUGAUAUGUGAUGAUGUGGGGUUAUUGUGCUGGCAAUUUUCAUGUGAUGUUGUGAUUUUCUUUGUGUUUAUUUUUAUAUCUUAUGCAACUUGUCUUGUUAUUUCGGUAAACUUGAUAAUAGUCUGAUCUAUGUUGAAAUUGUGAGUUUGUGGCUAUUGCCGGACGGAUUAUGAUAUUGGCACGUGAAUUGUCCGUGCAUAUGUGAUAUGAAAUGUGGGCACGAGGUGCCAGAAAAAUAUAAUGAUUAUGUUAUUGGCACGCGAACUAUCCGUGCAGAUGUGAUAUGAAAUGCGGGCACGAGAUGUUGGGGAAAUAUAAUGAUUUUUAUUAUUGACACGUGAGUUGUCCGUGUGAUUUUGAUAAAAAUAUGGGCAUAAGGUGCCGUGGAAAUAUGAAAGUGGGCUGAGACCCGUGUUACGAAAAUAUGAAAGUGGGCGAAGACCCGUGAUUUAUGAUUGUGAAAUGAGAUAUCAUAGAUUGACUUUUAUUUGAAAGAAUUUAUAUUCGAAAGAUAUUUAUUUGAAAGAAUUAUAUUCGAAAGAUAUUUAUUUGAAAGAAGUAUAAUCGGAAGGCAUUUAUUCAAAAGAAUUAUAUGUGAAAGAUUUAUAUUGGAAAGACUUGACUAAUUGGUUAUACUUGUGUUUCUUAUUCGUUUGAGCAAUAAUUAUGGUGUUCUUGUUGCCUUACUGUUUAUAUCACUGGUUGAUUUUGUUGCUAUCAUUGCUAGUUAUUUUUCAGUACUAUUGUAUACUGCUAUAUUACACAGGUUAUUUGAUUAGUGAGUGUCUUGACUGUACCUCGUCACUGCUCUAUCGAGAUUAGUCUUGAUACUUAUUGGGUACCGACCGUGGUGUACUCAUACUACACUUUUGCACAUUUUUGUGUAGAGCCAGGUAUUGGAGAUAUCAGACUCAGGCAGAGUUAGAGUGUGAUCGCAAGGAUUCAAGGUAGAGCUGCUUGGUCAUCGCAGUCCCUUGGAGUCUUUUUAUUUUAUUGUACUAUCAACUCUUAUUCGAAC